This is a long non-coding RNA of Callithrix jacchus (white-tufted-ear marmoset), 3059 nucleotides long. RefSeq lists it as uncharacterized. Lineage: Eukaryota; Metazoa; Chordata; Mammalia; Primates; Cebidae. The record is from RefSeq and is a predicted model, not a curated record.
AAAGGGCCAUUGUAAUCCUGACGGUUUCCCAGCAAUGACAGUGCAGGCGCAGACCACCAUCCAGCUCAUUUCACUUACACUGUUCACAAGGAGACUAUGAAUGGAAAAAAGUCAAUGGCAAAACUCCCACAUCCUGCUGAAGUUGGUACAUGGAUACUCUACUCAUCUUUAAAGCUGAACUACACAGUAAUUGUUGUGUCACGUGGAAACCCGCUCCUGUCAACAGAAACCAAAUCAUAAAGAAACAAACUCUUCCUUCCUGUCCUCUGCCUGUAGCAGAAAAUAGACAAGCCAAGCAGAUGUCCAGGGAUGGCGGAGGAGUACCUCGGCUGCAGCUUCCUUGAGAGAAAACAAGCUCAAGACAGCCUUCGGGGCUGGGGGUGGGAGUGCGGGGGUGGGAGUGCAGGCCGGCAGGCAUUGGGCUGGGGGCAGGGUGGGGGGAUGGGGGGUGGAAGGUGGCACAGUAUUGUGUUCAGGUUCCCAACUCACUCAAGCCGAUUGCCCGUUGCCUUCUUUCUCUCCCUCACUCUCCCUUUGUCUCUUUUGAACUUACUGUGAAACAAAUUAACUAUAUAUGGCCAGGGAAAUCUCCAGCAGUCCCAGUAUUUUUAAACUCUUGUAGUCUCCUGUUUGCACACUCAUGUGACGUAGAGGAACUAGAUCCAGAGAGUUUCUCAUGGGAAUCCGGGAUGUUUCGCAGUUACUGCUGGCUUUGGUUGCAUGUGUUUUUGCCCCUUGCUAAUGCAGCCCUUGGGGUUUCAUUUCACAUCUGAAAGACUUGGGAAGCAGCAGUUUCUGUGAGUGCGCUAAGAAUGUACCAGGGAGGCUGUGUUCACAGUGCCUGUCCAGGAUGGUCAUCGAGGGCCUUAGUAACUUUGCAGCCUCUGCAGCUGGCCUGACUCAGAUUGGAGGGUGAACUGCUGGGCAGUUACAAACUGGGGGGCAUCAGCAAGGAAGAAUUAUUCUCAAAACAUUCCACUAGCCCUUCACUGUUGAAUUCCUCAUUGUUGUCAGUUUUUUGUUUUUGUUUUUGUUUUUGUUUUCGUUUUGCUGUUCUUGUGCAUUAUCCAAUUUUGCUGAAGCGAUUUUAUAAAUAUGUGCCCCAAUCCCCACCUUCCCUUCAGCGUGUGUUUCCAGUGACUGUUUAUUUCUCUUUCAUAUCCUCUUGCUGACAUCCCUUUUUACCACUGCAAAGAUGUUUCAAAAUGUCCUGGAUUCAAAACUAUUUUAUUUUAUAAGAAAUACAUUUUCAAGCAAUUUAUUCAUAAGAGUGACAUUAUAUUUGAGGAUUAAAUGAAAAUAGGGGAACAACUCCCAUAGUUACUGAGUGGAAAAAAUUACCUUUAAAACAGAAUGGAAAAUGAAAUAGUCAUUGUGGGUGUAGCUUCUUGUAGGAAUACUAGGUAUAGUUAGUUGUCUGGGUUACGCAUUACAUAACUCUAAGUGCCACCAUUCAUAAUAUAGAUUUAAUUAAUAUGAUUUUCUAUCAUAUAUUAGUGAAAUGUCUUGAAGGAAGGAUCCCUUUUUCUAUAUUGUACAAAGGGGCCGUAUAGACUAGGACUAUUCACUCUUUUUGAAGAUAGGAAUGAAUCUUACUCACUUAUUUUUUUCCUAUUGCAAUUUACCUAUUAUAAUCACUACCAUUUACAGAGAGCUAACUUUGUAUCAGACACUAGUAUAAACAAUGUUAUGCUGGCAAUAGAGUUGGAAAAAGAAAAAAAGAAGAAGCCCUGACUUUCAGUGCUUGCCAAUUUCCGUAGUGUAAAUAUCCCCACCAUAGCCAUGUUCAGGCUACCAAAGUUCUUGAAAGCUCAAUGUAGUGUUGAGAAGGGGUGAUCACAACUGGCUUUCCGGAGCCAUUUCAUUUUUAAUGAAAUGAGUUGGCUGCAACAUGCUAUUGGUUCUAUAAUAAGUAUUAACAGGCAUUAAUUGCUGUAUUAAUGAGUUUUAUUUGCUCUGUAAAAUAUUAUUACGCACCCUCAUACAGAUAUAGAAACUGAGGCAAUGAGAAGUUAUGUUACGUUGAGUAAGGUGACAGAAACAGUAAGCAGUGGAGCCAGGCUUUGAGCCCAGGUUGCCUAGCUCCAGAGCUCAUGUACAUAGGCCCUAGAUCAUGCUGGAAGCAAUAGUGCAGGUGUCAGCAAAUGAUUUCUAAAUGAGAAAAUCUUGAUGUCAAGAAGUGUAUUACUGCUUUAAGUAUUGUAUCAUUUAGGGUUCCACCAGAGAAACAGAACUUGUAAUCAAUAUACAUAGUUAAUAUGAAUAUAUAAUAAAUUCACAUUAUAUAUUUUUAAUGAAAUAUAUAUUUAGAAAUAAUGUAAAUAUAUAUGGAUAUAUAUUGAUUUAUUGCAAAGAAUUGGCUUACGUGAUUGUGGCAGCUGGCUACAAAAGUCUGAAAUCUGUACAGCAGGCCUUCAGGAAGGGCAGUCAGAAACUCUCGAGCAGGGGCUGACACUGCUGUCCACAAGUAGAAUGUCUUCCUCAAGGAAGCCCAAGUUCUGCUCAAUUACUUGAAUCAGGCCAACCCAGAUUAUCUAGGAUAAUCUUUCUUACACAAACCAAACUGUCAUAGGCUUUAACAACACCUACCUUCACAGCAACAUCUAUAUUAGUUUUGAUUGAAUAACUGGAGCCUAUAGCCUGAGUAAUUUGACUCAUAAAGUGUUGAGUUGAAUUGCAUUGCCCAAAAAUUUAUGUUGAAAUCUUCACCCCUGGUACCUGUGAAUGUGACUUUAAUUGGAAAUAGGGUCUUUGCAGAUGAAAUGAAGGUAAGGUGAGGUCAUACUAGAGUAGGGUGAGACCUUAAUUGAAUAUGACUCGGUGUCCUUAUGAGAAGAAAAGGGAAAUGUACACAGAGGUACAGGUAGAGUGCUACAGAAGUGGAGGCAGAGAUUGGAGUAAUGCAUCUCCAUGCCAAGAAAUAAUAAGAAUUGGUAGAAGCCACCAGAAGGCAUGAAGAGGUAAGGAAGCCUAAGGAAGCCUCCUUCCCCAGAGCCUUCAGAGGAAGCAAAGCAAGACCCUGCCAACACCUUGAUGUUGGGCUUCUUGCUUCCAGAACU